Molecule: long non-coding RNA, 647 nt
Organism: Micropterus salmoides (largemouth bass)
Lineage: Eukaryota; Metazoa; Chordata; Actinopteri; Centrarchiformes; Centrarchidae
Exons: 3
Source: RefSeq, a predicted model, not a curated record
AUCUAUUUCCAGCAAAUAAAACCAAACCUGUCCUCACUGUGUCUCCAUCCUGGCUGAGUCCUGGAGCCUCAGUAACUCUGAGCUGCAGUGUUAAAGAUCCAUCUGCAGGAUGGAGGUUCUUCUGGUUUAAGGCUGUUCCCAAACUAUCAGGCAACUCCUACGACCAAGAGCUGCUACCUGGCAGCAGCAACGGGACUGAACAGGAUUCCUACAUCGUUCAUGGACAGACACACACAGCAGGAUAUAAGUGCAGAGCUGGAAGAGGAGAUCCAGUGAACUACACUAAUUAUAGUAACACUAUGUUUGUCUGGUCUAAAGAUUUUCAUCCAGCAACAGUCAGAGUGAGUCCUGACAGAGAGCAGCACUUUUCCUCUGAGCCUGUCUCACUGAGCUGUGAGGGAAACUCUUCUUAGUGGAGAGUGAGGAGGUUCACUAAAGCCGGCCAUCUGUCAAACUGUUCUAAGUGGGGAACAAUGACUGGAUCCACAUGCAACAUCAACGAACUUCCAAACAAAACUGCAGUGUACUGGUGUGAGUCUGAAUCAGCUCAAUUCAGUAACGCGGUCAACAUCACCGUACAAACAGCGCCUGAUGACUCUUCAUUUCUUCUGCUGUUGAUUGUUCGGCCAGUUUGUGGAAGUUUACUG